Molecule: ribosomal RNA, 301 nt
Filed under: uncultured bacterium
Lineage: Bacteria
Description: partial 16S ribosomal RNA
Rfam family: Bacterial small subunit ribosomal RNA
Source: RNAcentral
CAGCCGCCACGGUAAUACGAGGGGGCUAGCGUUGCUCGGAAUGACUGGGCGUAAAGGGCGCGUAGGCGGAUUGUUUAGUUAGGCGUGAAAUUCCUGGGCUUAACCUGGGGACUGCGCUUAAUACAGGCAGUCUAGGGUGAGGAAGAGGGUUGUGGAAUUCCCAGUGUAGAGGUGAAAUUCGUAGAUAUUGGGAAGAACACCGGUGGCGAAGGCGGCAACCUGGUCCUUGACUGACGCUGAGGCGCGAAAGCGUGGGGAGCAAACAGGAUUAGAUACCCCCGUAGUCCCUGUCUCUUAUACA